GACGAACGCUGGCGGCGUGCUUAACACAUGCAAGUCGAACGGUGAAGGGGAGCUUGCUCCCUGGAUCAGUGGCGAACGGGUGAGUAACACGUGGGCAACCUGCCCCUGACUUCGGGAUAACGCUUCGAAAGAGGUGCUAAUACCGGAUAUGAACCCUGAGGGCAUCCUCGGGGUUGGAAAGUUUUUCGGUCAGGGAUGGGCCCGCGGCCUAUCAGCUUGUUGGUGAGGUAGUGGCUCACCAAGGCGACGACGGGUAGCCGGCCUGAGAGGGCGACCGGCCACUCUGGGACUGAGACGCGGCCCAGACUCCUACGGGAGGCAGCAGUGGGGAAUAUUGCGCAAUGGGCGAAAGCCUGACGCAGCAACGCCGCGUGAGGGAUGAAGGCCUUCGGGUUGUAAACCUCUUUCAGCAGGGAAGAAGCGAAAGUGACGGUACCUGCAGAAGAAGCACCGGCUAACUACGUGCCAGCCGCCGCGGUAA
This 481-nucleotide ribosomal RNA is filed under the name uncultured bacterium. Its description in RNAcentral is "partial 16S ribosomal RNA". It matches the Rfam family "Bacterial small subunit ribosomal RNA", at positions 28 to 523 of the family's 1533-position model. The record is from RNAcentral.